CCAUCCCGCAAGGCUAAAUACUCUCUGGUGACCGAUAGCGAACGAGUAGCGCGAGCGAAAGAUGGGAAGAACCCCGACAAGGGGAGGACACUGAACCUGAAACCACAUGCCUACAAGCGGUGGGAGCCCUAUGCCCGCAAGGGAACGGGUGACCGCGUGCCUUUUGCAUAAUGAUCCGGCGACUUACCGUAACCAGCCAGGUUAAGGGCCUCUGGUCCGAAGCCGAAGCGAAAGCGAGUCUUAAACGGGCGUCAAGUUGGGUGCGGUAGACGCGAAACCACGUGACCUACGCAUGGCCAGGAUGAAGUGAGAGUAACAUCUCAUGGAAGACCGAACUCAUUUGGGUUGAAAACCGAUGGGAUGAGCUGUGUGGGGGAGUGAAAGUCUAAUCAAACGUGGAGAUAGCUCGUUCUCUCCGAAAUAACUUUAGGGUUAGCGUUCGGAUAGUUGGCGCUGGGGGUAGAGCGACUGAUUUCGAACGGGGGCCUACCCGGCUACCCGUCGAAGCCAAACUCCGAAUACCAGCGUUCAAGUCCGGGCAGCUAGACGGUGGGGGAUAAGCUUCAUCGUCGAGAGGGGAACAACCCAGAUCACCCGCUAAGGUCCCAGAGUCGUGCUCAGUGCGAAAGGAAGUUGGAUUCCCGAGACAGCCAGGAUGUUGGCUUAGAAGCAGCCACCAUUUAAACAACGCGUAAUAGCGGACUGGUCGAGGAGUCCUGCGCCGAUAAUGAACGGGACUCAAGCACGACACCGAAGCGGUGGGUAGCAGCAAUGCUACGGUAGGAGAGCGUUGCGUGUGCGGCGAAGGGGUACGGGCAACGAGCCCUGGAGCGCACGCAAGUGAUUAUGCCGGAAUGAGUAGACGAUAAAACGGGUGAGAAUCCCGUUCGCCGUAAGCCUAAGGGUUCCUGGGGAAGGUAAAUCCGCCCAGGGUUAGCCGGUGCCUAACGUGAGGCCGAAAGGUGUAGCGGAUGGGGAGCAGGUUAAUAUUCCUGCGCUCCCGGCACAACACGGGACGUCGGACCGAGGUGGUGUAGGCUGAAUAGAUUGCCUCAGGGCGUUUAAGAUCCCGAUAUCCACCGGAGACCGACCGAGAAAACCGUGCCGGAAACCGUACUAAAACCGACACAGGUAGGCGAGAUGAAUAUUCUAAGGCGCUCGAGAGAACUCUCGUGAAGGAACUCUGCAAGCUAAAUCCGUAACUUCGGGAAAAGGAUUGCCCACGCGAGUGGGUCGCAGUGAAAAGGUUCUGGCGACUGUUUACUAAAAACACAGGUCUGUGCGAAGGCGUAAGCCGCGGUAUACAGACUGACGCCUGCCCGGUGCUGGUAAGUUAAGGGAGAGGGUUAGCCGUAAGGUGAAGCUCGCAACCGAAGCUCCAGUAAACGGCGGCCGUAACUAUGACGGUCCUAAGGUAGCGAAGUUCCUUGUCGGGUAAGUUCCGACCUGCAUGAAUGGCGUAACGACCGGAACACUGUCUCCACGAGAGACUCGGUGAAAUUGUAGUUGUCGUGAAGAUGCGACAUACCCGCAGCUAGACGGAAAGACCCCGUGAACCUUAACUGCAGCUUGGUAUUGGGUUUAGACCCAGCAUGCGUAGUGUAGGUGGGAGGCUAUGAACCGCGUAUUUCGGUACGCGGGGAGCCGACGAUGAAACACCACCCUUGCUGUGUUUGAAUUCUAACUUGUUGUCUGUAGCAACAGGGACCGUGCUAAGUGGGCAGUUUGAUUGGGGCGAUCUCCUCCCAAAAGGUAACAGAAAGUGUUGCCCUCCCUACUGGUGACAGUGGGCGAGUAAUUUGGCUAUAUGCUGGAACAUCCGAGGAUCUCAGGCUACGAGGCACCCGUAACGGUAACGGUACGGCGCCCGUGACAAUGCCGGAGUGCGGACAAUCAGCAGGAAAGACCGGGA
Molecule: ribosomal RNA, 1912 nt
Filed under: symbiont metagenome
Description: bacterial LSU rRNA
Rfam family: Bacterial large subunit ribosomal RNA
Source: RNAcentral